Molecule: ribosomal RNA, 332 nt
Filed under: Mesomexovis subcristatus
Lineage: Eukaryota; Metazoa; Arthropoda; Arachnida; Scorpiones; Vaejovidae
Description: partial 12S ribosomal RNA
Source: RNAcentral
UAAAAUUUAUAAAAUUAGGUAGUAAAGAAAUUUCUGAAACCUAAAGAAUUUGGCGGUAUUUUAAAUAGUUGGAGGAACCUGUUAUUUAAUUGACAACCCACAACAUAUCUCACCUAAAUUUUAUUUGUAUAUCGUCGUUUUGAUAAUAUUUAAAAAUUAUAAUCAAGGGCAAUAAAUUUUUUAAAAUCAGAUCAAGGUGCAGUAUAUUUAGGUUAUAAUGGGUUACAAUAUAAAUAUUAUAUUAUGGAUAUAAAUUUGAAAAUAUAUUUGAAGGUGGAUUCAAAAGUAAUGUUAAAUUAAAAUGUUAACUUGAUUAAAAAUUUAAAAUAUGC